This 490-nucleotide ribosomal RNA is filed under the name uncultured bacterium. RNAcentral's name for it is "partial 16S ribosomal RNA". It matches the Rfam family "Bacterial small subunit ribosomal RNA", at positions 30 to 507 of the family's 1533-position model. The record is from RNAcentral.
AUUGAACGCUGGCGGCAGGCCUAACACAUGCAAGUCGAACGGUAACAGGAAACAGCUUGCUGUUUCGCUGACGAGUGGCGGACGGGUGAGUAAUGUCUGGGAAACUGUCUGAUUGAGGGGGAUAACUACUGGAAACGGUAGCUAUUACCUCAUAACGUCCCAAGACCAAAGUGGGGGACCUUCGGGCCUCUUGCCUUCGGAUGUGCCCAGAUGGGAUUAGCUAGUAGGUGGGGUAACGGCUCACCUAGGCGCCGAUCCCUAGCUGGUCUGCGAGGAUGACCAGCCACACUGGAACUGAGACACGGUCCAGACUCCUACGGGAGGCAGCAGUGGGGAAUAUUGCACAAUGGGCGCAAGCCUGAUGCAGCCAUGCCGCGUGUAUGAAGAAGGCCUUCGGGUUGUAAAGUACUUUCAGCGGGGAUGAAGGGAGUAAAGUUAAUACCUGUGCUCAUUGACGUUACCCGCAGAAGAAGCACCGGCUAACUCCGUG